UCUAUAUCAUAAAGAAACAGCUUUCAAAUGUCUUUAUGUAGUUUUUCAGUAGCACAACACAGAUU
Molecule: non-coding RNA, 65 nt
Organism: Pteropus alecto (black flying fox)
Lineage: Eukaryota; Metazoa; Chordata; Mammalia; Chiroptera; Pteropodidae
Source: Rfam